CCUACGGGGGGCUGCAGUGGGGAAUUUUGGACAAUGGGCGCAAGCCUGAUCCAGCCAUUCCGCGUGAGUGAAGAAGGCCUUCGGGUUGUAAAGCUCUUUCGCCAGGGAAGAAAACUUAUCCUCUAACAUAGGAUGAGGUUGACGGUACCUUGAUAAGAAGCACCGGCUAACUACGUGCCAGCAGCCGCGGUAAUACGUAGCGGACGAGCGUUAAUCGAAAUUACUGGGCGUAGAGUUUGCGCAGGGUGGUGAAAGCCCCGAGCUCAACUUGGGAACUGCGUUUGAAACUACAAGACUAGAAUAGGUCAGAGGGGGGUAGAAUUCCACGUGUAGCAGUGAAAUGCGUAGAGAUGUGGAGGAAUAUCAAUGGCGAAGGCAGCCCCCUGGGAUCAUAUUGACGCUCAUGCACGAAAGCGUGGGGAGCAAACAGGAUUAGAUACCCUUGUAGUC
This 450-nucleotide ribosomal RNA is filed under the name uncultured bacterium. RNAcentral describes it as "partial 16S ribosomal RNA". It matches the Rfam family "Bacterial small subunit ribosomal RNA", at positions 338 to 795 of the family's 1533-position model. The record is from RNAcentral.